RNAcentral lists this ribosomal RNA (774 nucleotides) under uncultured Neocallimastigales. RNAcentral describes it as "partial large subunit ribosomal RNA". It matches the Rfam family "Eukaryotic large subunit ribosomal RNA", at positions 20 to 616 of the family's 3401-position model. Lineage: Eukaryota; Fungi; Neocallimastigomycota; Neocallimastigomycetes; Neocallimastigales. The record is from RNAcentral.
UACUAGAGUAGCACUCGCAUAUCAAUAAGCGGAGGAAAAGAAACUAACAAGGAUUCCCCUAGUAACGGCGAGUGAAGCGGGAAGAGCUCAAAUUUGAAAUCUUAAAGGGUUUCCCUUUACGAAUUGUAGUUUAAAGAAGUGUUUUCUGUUGAGGUUUUGGUAAAAGUUCUUUGGAAUAGGACAUCAUAGAGGGUGAGAAUCCCGUAUUUGACCUUUACUUUCAACUUUGUGAUACACUUUCAAAGAGUCGGAUUGUUUGGGAAUGCAGUCCAAAAUGGGUGGUAAAUUUCAUCUAAAGCUAGAUAUUGGCGAGAGACCGAUAGCGAACAAGUACCGUGAGGGAAAGAUGAAAAGAACUUUGAAAAGAGAGUUAAACAGUACGUGAAAUUGUCAAAAGGGAAGCGUUUGACACCAGUGUUGUUUUUCUGAAAAUCAAUUAAAGAACUGUUUAUGCUAAGUUGUUUAGACUUUAUCAGCUAUCUGUUUAGUUUUAGGCUUUUCUUUAAUGCACUUUUCAGUUAACAAGUCAACAUCAAUUUCUUUUGCUGUAAAAAAGCUUGAGGAAGGUGGCUUGAGAUUCGUCUUAAGUGUUUAUAGCCUCUUGCCUAUGCAGUCGGAGAGAUUGAGGUCUGCAGCGUAGAUCCUUCGGGGCUAAAUGCAUUUGUGCUAAGUUAUAGCAUUUUAUAGACAACUUGUUGACUAUGAUUUGUCUUGUAGCUUACUCGCUUAUGUUAUUUUACCUACGCUUAGGAUGUUGAGCGCAUGUCUCUCUCU